RNAcentral lists this transfer RNA (76 nucleotides) under Legionella sp. RNAcentral's name for it is "tRNA-Ala". It matches the Rfam family "tRNA". Rfam says of the family: Transfer RNA (tRNA) molecules are approximately 80 nucleotides in length. The record is from RNAcentral. Lineage: Bacteria; Pseudomonadati; Pseudomonadota; Gammaproteobacteria; Legionellales; Legionellaceae.
GGGCUUGUAGCUCAGUUGGGAGAGCGGGUGCUUUGCAAGCACUAGGUCGCGGGUUCGAUUCCUGUCAGGUCCACCA